UUUCCUCCACGUACCACCACAGGAAGCAUACCACAGUUUGAGAACCAUGGGCAGGAACAUGCCAGGCUGAUAAUGGAAGUUUUGAUGACACGUGCACAAUUCCCCCAGCAGCAUCGUGAGCUCUCAGACUGUGCUUGUUGUCCCUGUUGCUGAUGUUUCUGUGUGCACCCAACAAUGGCCUCUACAUCUUUAUCAACUCUCCAGCACCGAGAGGGCAGGCAGAAGCACAACAGCUGCACGGCACCAGUAACGCGUGAUGGCUGCAGCGGCUGGAAUACGGACGUGAAGACAUCUGACGACUCACCUGAGGAGAGGGGAAAGCCUGAUGUCACUGCCCCGCCUCCUAGGCUGAAAACGCCAAAAAAAGGCACCUUCUAAAAGCGUCCUCCUGUCCUCACAGUCGUGACUCCGGCAGAUAUCUGUCUCUGACCCGAGUCUUUUACACUACUGAGCUGUCAAUAACACAUUCGUGCUGAUGCAAUUAACACCUACUCAAAACCAGCAAGCUCAAAAUCUGUAGCCGCUUUUUAAUUGACAUUUUUUUUCAUACGACACUCGACCGUCUUGUUUUUUUCUUCUUCUUUGAGUUUAAAACAAGCAGCAAAUGUCCAUGACGUCACCCAUAAGAAUCUUUACUGUCGAUUUCCCUCUAAAUGAGAACAUUAUUUAACAAAACUGACAUCAUGUGCUUUUGAAUGAGAGCUGAAAUAGCAUUUGAGACUGUUAUAAACUGUUAUAAGACUGU
Molecule: long non-coding RNA, 745 nt
Organism: Solea senegalensis (Senegalese sole)
Lineage: Eukaryota; Metazoa; Chordata; Actinopteri; Pleuronectiformes; Soleidae
Exons: 3
Source: RefSeq, a predicted model, not a curated record